Non-coding RNA from Carassius auratus (goldfish), 877 nucleotides. The record is from the annotation of a RefSeq genome assembly. NCBI's taxonomy places the organism in Eukaryota, Metazoa, Chordata, Actinopteri, Cypriniformes, Cyprinidae.
CAGACCAAGCUUCACUGGCUCUAGAGGGAAAUAUACUGCUGAUACACAGUAAAUAAGGCAUAUAAAGAAACUAACUGCAACAGAAAUGAACAAGAACAGAAAAGCAAGUGGUCUUAUCGUCAUUAUUAUCUCCCUUCUUCUGCUCUGCAUUGCAUCAGGUGAGAAGGACCAACUGAACCAGAUGUUUAGCAGAGGACUUCGACUUAUUGUGGAAGUUCCUCACGUCCGUGUUGACCACCUGGUGACUCCGAAGGUGCAUAUUCUUCUGCCUUCUGGCGUUCAGAAGCAGCGUGCAGAGAGAGUGACGCUGGCCUGUGUCAUCACCGGGUUACAGUCUAAAGCCGUGAGGAUCACAUGGAAGGUGAACGGAGCAACAGGUCUCAAGAAACACAGCAGCCCUGCACAAGUGCACCGAGAGCCUGGAGGCACCUUCUCUGCUGUGGGCCUGUACUCGCUGCUCGCUCAUAAAUGGAGUCAUGGGAAUACGUACAGGUGUGAGGUGACUUACAAAGCGGCGUUUUACUACGAUAAGGCAGAGUCGUCUCUGUGUGUUCCUCCUGAGGAACUGUAACUGUGUCCUGUGUUAGAGAUUCACGCCGGAGCCGGAGCACAUAGCUCACUUCAAAAUCAACAGAGGGAGAGAAAAAAAAGGACAAUAUAUUUUCAAAACAAUUUGGAGCGUGCUGUUAAAUUCUAAAUUCUGAAUUUUCGUAUUGUCACAUUGUUUUCAUAUUAUUUAUAAACAUGCAAUGAUUUAUAUAAAACUUGGCUUAUUAUUUGCUUUAAACGUUCUUAUAAUUAUUAUACAGUUUUGUUUCAUUUUCUUUGGUUAGCUCGCCCCCUUUUUCUUCUUUAUGUGAAGCAAACAAAACUUUCA